RNAcentral lists this ribosomal RNA (240 nucleotides) under uncultured fungus. RNAcentral's name for it is "partial 28S ribosomal RNA". It matches the Rfam family "Eukaryotic large subunit ribosomal RNA", at positions 318 to 541 of the family's 3401-position model. Lineage: Eukaryota; Fungi. The record is from RNAcentral.
GGCGANACGAUGCGAACAGUACCGUGAGGGAAAGAUGAAAAGAACUUUGAAAAGAGAGUAAAAUAGUGCGUGAAAUUGUUGAAAGGGAAACGAUUGAAGUCAGUCGUACCGACGGACAAUCAGCCUUUUGAGUGCGAUUCUGUGGGGCAUGAGGAGGAAACCCUCAUGUUUUGCAUAUUUGUGCUCUUUGGGUGUAUUUGUUCGUAUGGUGGGUUAACAUCAAUUUUGGUCGUCAUAAAA